Molecule: non-coding RNA, 99 nt
Organism: Myodes glareolus (Bank vole)
Lineage: Eukaryota; Metazoa; Chordata; Mammalia; Rodentia; Cricetidae
Source: RefSeq, a predicted model, not a curated record
AUAGACUCUGUCCAGGGUUGAGCUGACAGUAAGCCCACCUGUAGGAAACAGGGUUGUCCUACAAGGGGAUGGCUCUGUGCCGAAAGCAUGGGGAAGACU